CCUACGGGUGGCUGCAGUGGGGAAUAUUGGACAAUGGGCGAAAGCCUGAUCCAGCCAUGCCGCGUGUGUGAAGAAGGCCUUCGGGUUGUAAAGCACUUUCAGUGGGGAAGAAAGCCUUGGGGCUAAUACCCUCGAGGAAGGACAUCACCCACAGAAGAAGCACCGCCUAACUCCGUGCCAGCAGCCGCGGUAAUACGGAGGGUGCGAGCGUUAAUCGGAAUUACUGGGCGUAAAGCGCGCGUAGGCGGUCUGAUAAGCCGGUUGUGAAAGCCCCGGGCUCAACCUGGGAACGGCAUCCGGAACUGUCAGGCUAGAGUGCAGGAGAGGAAGGUAGAAUUCCCGGUGUAGCGGUGAAAUGCGUAGAGAUCGGGAGGAAUACCAGUGGCGAAGGCGGCCUUCUGGACUGACACUGACGCUGAGGUGCGAAAGCGUGGGUAGCAAACAGGAUUAGAUACCCGAGUAGUC
Molecule: ribosomal RNA, 465 nt
Filed under: Vreelandella stevensii
Lineage: Bacteria; Pseudomonadati; Pseudomonadota; Gammaproteobacteria; Oceanospirillales; Halomonadaceae
Description: partial 16S ribosomal RNA
Rfam family: Bacterial small subunit ribosomal RNA
Source: RNAcentral